This 468-nucleotide ribosomal RNA is filed under the name uncultured bacterium. RNAcentral's name for it is "partial 16S ribosomal RNA". It matches the Rfam family "Bacterial small subunit ribosomal RNA", at positions 28 to 507 of the family's 1533-position model. The record is from RNAcentral.
GACGAACGCUGGCGGCGUGCUUAACACAUGCAAGUCGAACGGAAAGGCCCUGCUUUUGUGGGGUGCUCGAGUGGCGAACGGGUGAGUAACACGUGAGUAACCUGCCCUUGACUUUGGGAUAACUUCAGGAAACUGGGGCUAAUACCGGAUAGGAGCUCCUGCUGCAUGGUGGGGGUUGGAAAGUUUCGGCGGUUGGGGAUGGACUCGCGGCUUAUCAGCUUGUUGGUGGGGUAGUGGCUUACCAAGGCUUUGACGGGUAGCCGGCCUGAGAGGGUGACCGGCCACAUUGGGACUGAGAUACGGCCCAGCCUCCUACGGGAGGCAGCAGUGGGGAAUAUUGCACAAUGGGCGGAAGCCUGAUGCAGCAACGCCGCGUGCGGGAUGACGGCCUUCGGGUUGUAAUCCGCUUUCGCCUGUGACGAAGCGUGAGUGACGGUAAUGGGUAAAGAAGCACCGGCUAACUACGUG